CAGUGCUGGUGUGGACAGUGCUGAUGAUGCAUCUUAUCCAGACUCUUCAGUUGUGCCUGUGAAAGGACUUGAAUUCUCGUGCUCGACUAAGACUGCCUCUGCUGACAGCCAUCGGUGUGCCUGUGAUGGAAAAGACCUAUCAGCAGCAGUGUCAGAACUGAAGCAAGCUCACCGCAAGCUGAGCGAGCAGAACAGCAGCCUGCUCAGGACGGUGGGUCAGUGUGAAGACGUCAACAUGCAGCUCACACUGGAGAUCACUGAGC
Long non-coding RNA from Nerophis ophidion (straightnose pipefish), 263 nucleotides. RefSeq lists it as uncharacterized. NCBI's taxonomy places the organism in Eukaryota, Metazoa, Chordata, Actinopteri, Syngnathiformes, Syngnathidae. The transcript is spliced from 3 exons. The record is from RefSeq and is a predicted model, not a curated record.